GAAGGGUGCAAGCGUUACUCGGAAUUACUGGGCGUAAAGCGUGCGUAGGUGGUUUGUUAAGUCUGAUGUGAAAGCCCUGGGCUCAACCUGGGAAUGGCAUUGGAUACUGGCAGGCUAGAGUGCGGUAGAGGAUGGCGGAAUUCCCGGUGUAGCAGUGAAAUGCGUAGAGAUCGGGAGGAACAUCUGUGGCGAAGGCGGCCAUCUGGACCAGCACUGACACUGAGGCACGAAAGCGUGGGGAGCAAACAGG
Molecule: ribosomal RNA, 250 nt
Filed under: uncultured bacterium
Lineage: Bacteria
Description: partial 16S ribosomal RNA
Rfam family: Bacterial small subunit ribosomal RNA
Source: RNAcentral